RNAcentral lists this ribosomal RNA (231 nucleotides) under uncultured bacterium. RNAcentral's name for it is "partial 16S ribosomal RNA". It matches the Rfam family "Bacterial small subunit ribosomal RNA", at positions 107 to 334 of the family's 1533-position model. The record is from RNAcentral.
UGAGUAACACGUAUGCAAUCCACCUGUAACAGGGGGAUAACCCGGAGAAAUCCGGACUAAUACCCCAUAAUAUGGGCGCUCCGCAUGGAGAGUCCAUUAAAGAGAGCAAUCUUGGUUACAGACGAGCAUGCGCUCCAUUAGCCAGUUGGCGGGGUAACGGCCCACCAAGGCGACGAUACAUAGGGGGACUGAGAGGUUAACCCCCCACACUGGUACUGAGACACGGACCAG